CCUACGGGAGGCAGCAGUAGGGAAUCUUCCACAAUGGGCGAAAGCCUGAUGCAGCAACGCCGCGUGGGUGAAGAAGGUCUUCGGAUCGUAAAACCCUGUUUUUAGAGAAGAAAGUGCGUGAGAGUAACUGUUCACGUUUCGACGGUAUCUAACCAGAAAGCCACGGCUAACUACGUGCCAGCAGCCGCGGUAAUACGUAGGUGGCAAGCGUUAUCCGGAUUUAUUGGGCGUAAAGGGAACGCAGGCGGGCUGUUAAGUCUGAUGUGAAAGCUUUCGGCUUAACCGGAGUAGUGCAUUGGAGACUGGGAGACUUGAGGGCAGAAGAGGAAGGUGGAACUCCAAGUGUAGCGGUGAAAUGCGUAGAUAUAUGGAAGAACACCAGUGGCGAAGGCAGCUCUCUGGUCUGUAACUGACGCUGAGGUUCGAAAGCGUGGGUAGCAAACAGGAUUAGAUACCCGUGUAGUC
This 465-nucleotide ribosomal RNA is filed under the name uncultured bacterium. RNAcentral describes it as "partial 16S ribosomal RNA". It matches the Rfam family "Bacterial small subunit ribosomal RNA", at positions 338 to 795 of the family's 1533-position model. The record is from RNAcentral.